GUGCUCGCUUCGGCAGCACAUAUACUAAAGUUGGAACGAUACAGAGAUUAGCAUGGCCCCUGCGCAAGGAUGACACGCAAAUUCGGGAAGCGUUCCAUAUUUUU
Molecule: small nuclear RNA, 104 nt
Filed under: Camelus dromedarius (Arabian camel)
Lineage: Eukaryota; Metazoa; Chordata; Mammalia; Artiodactyla; Camelidae
Source: RNAcentral